Molecule: ribosomal RNA, 117 nt
Filed under: Blastocatellia bacterium
Lineage: Bacteria; Pseudomonadati; Acidobacteriota; Blastocatellia
Source: RNAcentral
UCCGGCGACCAUAUCAGAGGGGUCACACCCGUUCCCUUCCCGAACACGGAAGUUAAGCCCUCUCGAGCCGAUUAUACUGCGCUUGCAGAAGCGUGGGAAACUAGGUUGUCGCCGGAU